CGCGUCACGAGACUUCUGGAACUCCCUUUUAUUUUUGUUUUGAAAGUAUUGCAGUAAAUACAGAUGCAAUAAAUGGCACUGGGUGUGAUCAGUAGGGAAAGUGGCGUAUUGGAGGACGGAUAACGCACCUCUGUGGCACAAGGCGGCAGCAUCGGCUUGCACGUCUCGCGAUAGUGGCGGGGAGAAGAAUCUAAACCGGAAGUGUACAUAACCAGCUGAGGAGAUCAACGUGCAUUAACGGGUAACGAAGAAAUACAAUGCCUGAAG
Long non-coding RNA from Triplophysa dalaica, 267 nucleotides. RefSeq lists it as uncharacterized. The transcript is spliced from 3 exons. NCBI's taxonomy places the organism in Eukaryota, Metazoa, Chordata, Actinopteri, Cypriniformes, Nemacheilidae. The record is from RefSeq and is a predicted model, not a curated record.